AGAGUUUGAUCCUGGCUCACAUUGAACGCUGGCGGCAGGCCUAACACAUGCAAGUCGAACGGUAACAGGAAGCAGCUUGCUGCUUCGCUGACGAGUGGCGGACGGGUGAGUAAUGUCUGGGAAACUGCCUGAUGGAGGGGGAUAACUACUGGAAACGGUAGCUAAUACCGCAUAACGUCGCAAGACCAAAGAGGGGGACCUUAGGGCCUCUUGCCAUCGGAUGUGCCCAGAUGGGAUUAGCUAGUAGGUGGAGUAACGGCUCACCUAGGCGACGAUCCCUAGCUGGUCUGAGAGGAUGACCAGCCACACUGGAACUGAGACACGGUCCAGACUCCUACGGGAGGCAGCAGUGGGGAAUAUUGCACAAUGGGCGCAAGCCUGAUGCAGCCAUGCCGCGUGUAUGAAGAAGGCCUUCGGGUUGUAAAGUACUUUCAGCGGGGAGGAAGGGAGUAAAGUUAAUACCUUUGCUCAUUGACGUUACCCGCAGAAGAAGCACCGGCUAACUCCGUGCCAGCAGCCGCGGUAAA
This 527-nucleotide ribosomal RNA is filed under the name uncultured bacterium. Its description in RNAcentral is "bacterial SSU rRNA". It matches the Rfam family "Bacterial small subunit ribosomal RNA", at positions 8 to 524 of the family's 1533-position model. The record is from RNAcentral.